UUUUGACCAUGAAAUGGUUAUUGCCUUCUUUAGUUCUUGUUUUGCUAAUUUUUCAACAACCCCUUUGCACUUGUUCAUCAAUUUCUGAUCUUUUUGAAACUUGGUGUCAGCAAAAUGGAAAAAAAUAUUCUUCAGAACAAGAAAGGAUGUAUAGAUUCAAGGUGUUUGAAGAAAACUAUGCUUAUAUUACAGAGCAUAAUAGCAAAGGGAAUUCCAGUUAUACCCUUGGUCUCAAUGCCUAUUCUGAUCUUACUCACCAUGAAUUUAGGAAUUCUUUCUUGGGUCUUUCCUCUUCUGCUAAUGAUUUCAUUAGGUUGAAAGGUAGAGGGUCAGGUUCUUCUGCAGCUGGAGUUUUGAGUGAUGUUGAUGCUCCUUCUUCUUUGGAUUGGAGAGACAAAGGAGCUGUUACUAAUGUCAAAAAUCAAGGAAGUUGUGGUGCUUGCUGGUCAUUCUCGGCCACUGGUGCAAUUGAAGGUAUCAAUAAGAUUACCACUGGAUCUCUCGUUAGCCUCUCUGAGCAGGAGUUAAUUGAUUGCGACAGAAGUUACAAUCAAGGUUGUGGAGGUGGAUUGAUGGACUAUGCUUUUGAAUUUGUCAUAAAGAAUGGUGGUAUUGACACCGAAAAGGAUUAUCCUUUUAGAGAAAAGGAAGGAACAUGCAACAAAAACAAGCUACAAAGACGUGUUGUAACCAUUGAUGGAUAUACUGAUAUUCCUCAAAAUGAUGAGGACAAGCUUCUAAAGGCAGUGGCAACUCAACCUGUGAGUGUUGGGAUAUGCGGUAGUGCGAGAGCAUUUCAAUCAUAUUCAAAGGGGAUAUUCACUGGCCCGUGUCCUACAGAUUUAGAUCAUGCGGUACUGAUUGUGGGCUAUGGUUCCGAAAAUGGAUUUGACUACUGGAUUAUAAAGAACUCAUGGGGAACAAGCUGGGGAAUAAAUGGUUAUAUCCACAUGCAGCGUAAUAGUGGGAAUCAAGAAGGGAUCUGCGGGGUCAAUAAGUUAGCUUCAUAUCCAACCAAGACUAGCCCAAAUCCACCAAAUCCUCCAGCUCCUGGUCCAUCCAAAUGCAGCACAUUCACCUCAUGUGGUCAAGGUGAAACCUGUUGCUGUGGUUUGAAGUUUCUUGGAAUAUGCCUUUCUUGGAAAUGCUGCGGGUUGGAUUCAGCAGUAUGUUGUAAAGAUGGACGCCACUGUUGCCCAUGGGAUUAUCCAAUUUGUGACACAAGUCGGAACCUUUGCCUCAAGCGAAUGAGCAAUGCUACUAUAGUGCAACAGCCUCAGAAGGAACCAUUUACUGGGAAAUUCGGAGGUCUUAUUUACCCUUUCUAGGCGUAGGAGCCUGGCACAACAUCAUUAUCAUAUUCAUGGUGUUACAAAUUUACUUUGUGGCGUACAUAGUUACCCCCAAGUAAUUCCACUUGUUGCUGGAUAUCAUUUUGUAUUUGUAGAACUGGUAUAGUCGCUUCUGGUCAGACGACGAUCAUCUUGUACCACAUUAUUAGCUUGUAUUUUAGUAGUAUUUCAGACUUUCCAGUUUUUAGAUGACGACUUUGCUAUCAUCUACCUUCCAAGGUAGGGUAAAGUUACGUAGAGUUGAAGAAACUAUAAAUGUGUGCGCUUGACUCUUUCAACAAUGGUGAUUUUGGAGGGAUUUUAUUUACUUUCUUGGUUAGUGAAUUUGGGUUUU
RNAcentral lists this unclassified non-coding RNA (1686 nucleotides) under Hevea brasiliensis (rubber tree). Lineage: Eukaryota; Viridiplantae; Streptophyta; Magnoliopsida; Malpighiales; Euphorbiaceae. The record is from RNAcentral.